UAAAAAUAUUUACUGUGUAUCACAAUAUGUGCCAUUUUAUAUCACAAUAUAUUAAUGCAUUAUGUCACAAGAAAUGUUAUGUUGUAAAUAUUAAUAUGACACAUUUGAGUACGUGGCUGCAAGGUUAAAUCGUGGCUAUGUAAUGGGGGGGGGGGGUAAUAUAAGUAACUGAAUUGUUAAAAUGUCUUCCUAUGUAGGCUGGAUGUAUUAAAUGACCUAAAGGUUGUUACCUUAUUAUUAUGUGCACAUCCCUUUUCCAGAGACUUGAUUUUGCUGAAUUAAAAAAUGUUUAAGUAAAAAUGG
Long non-coding RNA from Sander lucioperca (pikeperch), 303 nucleotides. RefSeq lists it as uncharacterized. Lineage: Eukaryota; Metazoa; Chordata; Actinopteri; Perciformes; Percidae. The transcript has 2 exons. The record is from RefSeq and is a predicted model, not a curated record.